UACGUAGGGUGCGAGCGUUGUCCGGAAUUACUGGGCGUAAAGAGCUUGUAGGUGGUUUGUCGCGUUGUUCGUGAAAUCUCACGGCUUAACUGUGGGCGUGCGGGCGAUACGGGCAGACUGGAGUACUGCAGGGGAGACUGGAAUUCCUGGUGUAGCGGUGGAAUGCGCAGAUAUCAGGAGGAACACCGGUGGCGAAGGCGGGUCUCUGGGCAGUAACUGACGCUGAGGAGCGAAAGCGUGGGGAGCGAUCCGG
This 253-nucleotide ribosomal RNA is filed under the name uncultured bacterium. RNAcentral describes it as "partial 16S ribosomal RNA". It matches the Rfam family "Bacterial small subunit ribosomal RNA", at positions 524 to 776 of the family's 1533-position model. The record is from RNAcentral.